GGGGUGGUGUAAUGGUGUAAAAUCACUCAAAUUCUUAAAAACAAAUUUAUUAUCCUGUGUAGCACUAGUGUUAGUAUCCUUGUAAAGAAGCUUUAGCAUGACAUUUCUACAAAAGAUUCUUAAAUCAACAAUAGUAUCAACUAAUCUACUCUGAUUUUUAGGAAUAAAGUUCAGGCCUUUACUCAGAAGCUGAAUGUCCUCAGAGGGAGCGUCCUCUUGGCGGGCCUUUCUCCAUUCGAACAGGUUUUCUUUCCCUGAAUGAAAACUAUCAUUGAAUACUUUCCUACACAGCCCGAAAGUUUGCAUGUUCCAUGGAAUUUGUUACAUGCACCUGACCUACCAACAACUCAAGCAGAUGGGACCGUGGUUGAAUGUUUCAUCCAAAGGACAGCACAGUCAGGAGUGCAACAUCCCCCUUAUGUUGCACUGUAGUAUCAGCAAUUAGUCUGUCUGGUGGGGAAACAGAACCCACAGCUUUCUGUACCAAGGGCAAGUGUGCUACCUUUUGUGCCACUGAGACUGACAUUUACACUGCCCAUCCCAUUCAUCCCACCCACUCCCCAUUUUCCCAUUUUUGCACAUGGGGUCAGGGUGUCACUUCAACAGUGACAAUCAUCUAGAGCCAAGGUUCACACAGAUGGAUGGCUAGCCCUGCCUUGGCUGUUCUUUCAUAUCAUACACUCGCAUGCACAUUUAUGACCAAUUUAGAGUGUCUGAUCC
Long non-coding RNA from Protopterus annectens (West African lungfish), 720 nucleotides. RefSeq lists it as uncharacterized. NCBI's taxonomy places the organism in Eukaryota, Metazoa, Chordata, Ceratodontiformes, Protopteridae. The transcript is spliced from 4 exons. The record is from RefSeq and is a predicted model, not a curated record.